CCUACGGGGGGCAGCAGUAGGGAAUAUUGGUCAAUGGACGAAAGUCUGAACCAGCCAUGCCGCGUGGAGGAUGAAGGUCCUCUGGAUUGUAAACUUCUUUUAUAUGGGACGAAAAAAGGCUUUUCUAAGUCGUCUGACGGUACCAUAUGAAUAAGCACCGGCUAACUCCGUGCCAGCAGCCGCGGUAAUACGGAGGGUGCAAGCGUUAUCCGGAUUCACUGGGUUUAAAGGGUGCGUAGGUGGGUUGGUAAGUCAGUGGUGAAAUCCCCGAGCUUAACUUGGGAACUGCCAUUGAUACUAUUAAUCUUGAAUACCGUGGAGGUCGGCGGAAUAUGUCAUGUAGCGGUGAAAUGCUUAGAUAUGACAUAGAACACCAAUUGCGAAGGCAGCUGGCUACACGAGUAUUGACACUGAGGCACGAAAGCGUGGGGAUCAAACAGGAUUAGAUACCCUUGUAGUC
RNAcentral lists this ribosomal RNA (460 nucleotides) under uncultured Chitinophagaceae bacterium. RNAcentral's name for it is "bacterial SSU rRNA". It matches the Rfam family "Bacterial small subunit ribosomal RNA", at positions 338 to 795 of the family's 1533-position model. Lineage: Bacteria; Pseudomonadati; Bacteroidota; Chitinophagia; Chitinophagales; Chitinophagaceae. The record is from RNAcentral.